RNAcentral lists this ribosomal RNA (471 nucleotides) under uncultured bacterium. Its description in RNAcentral is "bacterial SSU rRNA". It matches the Rfam family "Bacterial small subunit ribosomal RNA", at positions 331 to 794 of the family's 1533-position model. The record is from RNAcentral.
CCAGACUCCUACGGGAGGCAGCAGUGGGGAAUAUUGCACAAUGGGCGCAAGCCUGAUGCAGCCAUGCCGCGUGUGUGAAGAAGGCCUUCGGGUUGUAAAGCACUUUCAGCGGGGAGGAAGGCAAUAAGGUUAAUAACCUUGUUGAUUGGCGUUACCCGCAGAAGAAGCACCGGCUAACUCCGUGCCAGCAGCCGCGGUAAUACGGAGGGUGCAAGCGUUAAUCGGAAUUACUGGGCGUAAAGCGCACGCAGGCGGUCUGUCAAGUCGGAUGUGAAAUCCCCGGGCUCAACCUGGGGACUGCAUUCGAAACUGGCAGGCUAGAGUCUUGUAGAGGGGGGUAGAAUUCCAGGUGUAGCGGUGAAAUGCGUAGAGAUCUGGAGGAAUACCGGUGGCGAAGGCGGCCCCCUGGACAAAGACUGACGCUCAGGUGCGAAAGCGUGGGGAGCAAACAGGAUUAGAUACCCCCGUAAA